Molecule: long non-coding RNA, 1340 nt
Organism: Rattus norvegicus (Norway rat)
Lineage: Eukaryota; Metazoa; Chordata; Mammalia; Rodentia; Muridae
Source: RefSeq, a predicted model, not a curated record
CCAAAGAUAGGCUACCUGUGCUAAUUUGAGCCUAUCUUGUGGCAAUUAGCCACCUCUGGCCCUGCUUGGGGGAGCUUCUAGCUGUAAAGAUAGUGUAAGGGUCAUUUAGAUUACUAGCCACCUCUGGACCUGGUUGGGGAAGCUCGACAUGGUCUGGCUGAAGAGAUAACGCAGAUCACCAGGCUAUUUAAUCACUUCCAAUUUCCAGCUUAGGAUGGGAGAACAGGGGCUUUACUUUGUUUGCUUGGUUUUUUGUUUUUGUUUGUUUGUUUGUUUGGGUUGGUUUUUUGUUGUUGUUGUUGUUGUUUGUUUGUUUUUUUGUUUUGUUUUGUUUUUUUUCCGUCUUUCCCAUUGGAAAGACAAUCUUUUGUGCUUCAAUCUUCCUGGUUUCUCUGGACAUCUGUGAGCACAAGGACUUUCGUGAUGUGCUCCUAAUAGGGAUAAGAAGUCUUAAACAUACACACGUAAAACAAAACAAAAACAUACAAAAACAAACAGUUCACGACUGUAAGGACCUGUUCACUUCCUGAAGCUAGACAACAGCCUUUCAAGUGCAAAUCUUCUGCCUCUUCCAACACCCAAGUCCUCUCAGAAUUUUCUUCAUGCGCAGUUUUAAACUUUGUGUUUCUGGGUCUUGAACCCAGGGUCUCGCACAUGCUAAUCAGAAUGAAAGCAUUGAGAGGUUGUGAUUUCCGUUCUCACUCCUCUUCCCCUAGGCCCCUCAAAUGCACACGAUCUUUAAGUUCCCCCCUGGAUGCUGAUCCUGCGUGCAGCACUGGAGAGAGCACCGGAAGUCCAGGUCCCCGCCUCGACAGCAGCACAUGCGCAUUACUAUAAUAAUUAGACAAGACCAACGGACCUCCCCUCGUACUUGGUAAGUCUGUCAUGGAGCUGCAUGCACUUCAGACCGCUAAGAUUUCAACGUUGACAGAGGCACUCUUGGUAAAGUGUUAGGAUACCAAACGGAAAUCAGCAACGGUGGUAAGAUCUAACAGAAACCGCCAGUCCUCUGUCAAAUCGGCACGAGUCAGGGGGAGCGACCAGGACCAGCCAGGACUCCAGGAGAAGUUUUCUGCCGUGCCUCUCUCAACAAAGAUCAGCAAAGACAAAGACUCGAGACCAACCAAUGAAGCGAGGCAAGGUCUUCUUACCUUAGCAAAACAACACGUGAUUCCGUAUCACGUGACGUAUCCAGAAACUUACACCUCCAGUGUCCUUCAUUUUUGCCCGUGGAUCCAGAUGUAGACCCCUCUGCUACCUCUCCAGCUUCAUGUCUGCCUGUUCGCUAACAUGCACGGUGCCAAGCUGAUGACAGAAUAAACUUCUGAAACUGUAAACAA